AGCCACAUGGUGUAAUGGUCUGAGUGUUGGACCAAGCAUCCAGAGACCAGGGUUCGAAUCCCUGCUUGGCCA
Non-coding RNA from Phrynosoma platyrhinos (Desert horned lizard), 72 nucleotides. Lineage: Eukaryota; Metazoa; Chordata; Lepidosauria; Squamata; Phrynosomatidae. The record is from the annotation of a GenBank genome assembly.